Long non-coding RNA from Junco hyemalis (dark-eyed junco), 1567 nucleotides. The record is from Ensembl. NCBI's taxonomy places the organism in Eukaryota, Metazoa, Chordata, Aves, Passeriformes, Passerellidae.
GGUUAAACUGGGCCUAACUGGGGCUUCCUUAAACCAGGAUCAUUUAAAGCCUGCCCUGCUCAGGCUCAUUAAAUUGGGCUCAACAUCGGCUUCAUUAAACCAGGCUUAAUUCAGGCUUUGUUAAACCCGGCUCAAUUUAAGCUUCAUUAAACCAGGCUCAGUUUGGGCUUUAUUAAAUCGUGGCUUUGUUAAACCAGGCUCAGUUCGGGCCUCAUUAAAUCGUGGCUUUGUUAAACCAGGCUCAGUUCGGGCCUCAUUAAAUCGUGGCUUUGUUAAACCAGGCUCAGUUGGGGCUUUAUUAAAUCGUGGCUUUGUUAACCCGGCCUCCAUUCUGUCUUCCUUACCCGGGCUUCACUUGGGCUUUGUUAAACCGGGCUGAGCUCAGGCUUCCUUCAACCACCUCGGGCUUCCUUCUGCUCUCUUUGGCUCUUCCUUAAGCCAGGUUCAAUUAAACCCCCGGCAUUAAUUGUUGCCCUCCCCAAUUAAGCCCCGGCAUUAAUUGUUGCCUUCCCCCCCCAGGGCCGCCUGGGCUUCGCCGCCCGCCCCGAGCUCUUCCUCCUCGGCCACGUCGGUUCCGACCCGUCCGUGCCCAGGUGACCCCGGAGCCCGCGGACCCCCGGGACCCCCAGGACCCCCGGUGUGGGGGAAUGGACCCCCGGGACCCCCCCGAGCCCCGGGCGGGCGGCGGGAGCGGAGUGGGACACCGGGAGCAGGAGGACACCUGGGGACACCUGAGCCAGCUUUGGGGACACCCAGGACAGACUUGGGGACACCCGGGCCGGCUUUGGGGACACCUCAGCCAGACUUGGGGACACUCAGAGCAGCUCUGGGGACAUCUGAGCCAGCCUUGAGGACAACUGGGCCACUCCUGGGGACACCUGGGACAGCCCUCGGGACACCGGGCCAGCUUUGGGGACACCUGGGAUGGUCUUGGGGACAUGUGGGACAGCCUUGGGGACACUCAGACCGGCCUUGGGGACACCCAGGACAUCCCUGGGGACACCUAGGCCAGCUUUGGGGACAGUCAAGGCCACCUUGGGGACACCCAGGCCAGGCUUGGGGACACUUGGGCCAGCUCUGGGGACACUGGGCUGGUCUUGGGGACACCCGGGCCAGUCCUGGGGCUUUUCCCUAAUUCAGGAAUUUUCCAUUUGGGAUUUCCCAGAUUUUCACUCAGGUCACUCCAGCAGGAUUUUGCUCCUCGGGGUUUUUUUCCCUAACUGGGGAAUGUUCCAGUUGGGAUUUCCCAAGAAAAUGAAAGCCAGGUUUAAUUCCCAAGAAAAUGAAAGCCAGGUUUAGUUCCCAAGAAAAUUAAAGCCAGGUUUAAUUCCCAAGUAAAGCCAGGUUUGCUGCCAGGCUCAGCUUUGGGGACAGAGCAUUUCCCACGAUUUCCAGCAUUUCUGGGGUUUUCCAGAACCCCAAAUCCCCCCUCAGGGAGGUCUGAGGGCAGCAGCUCCCAUAAAACCCAGCAGGAUUCCCACCGGGAAUUUCCCUCUCUGCAGCUUUCAGAUUUAGAAAUUAAAAUUUGAGAAAUAAAAAUGGUUUUAGAAAUAAAACUUUGGCUGCU